AGGAUUAUAGUUAAAAUUAUAAUAAAUAACAUUUUAAUUGCAAUAAAAAAUUAUUUACUUUAAUCUUA
RNAcentral lists this transfer RNA (68 nucleotides) under Dipterophagus daci. Its description in RNAcentral is "tRNA-Ala". Lineage: Eukaryota; Metazoa; Arthropoda; Insecta; Strepsiptera; Halictophagidae. The record is from RNAcentral.